GCCGUAGCUUGACACAGAGC
This 20-nucleotide microRNA is filed under the name Picea abies (Norway spruce). RNAcentral's name for it is "pab-miR11477". Lineage: Eukaryota; Viridiplantae; Streptophyta; Pinopsida; Pinales; Pinaceae. The record is from miRBase by way of RNAcentral.